Small nucleolar RNA from Cavia porcellus (domestic guinea pig), 137 nucleotides. NCBI's taxonomy places the organism in Eukaryota, Metazoa, Chordata, Mammalia, Rodentia, Caviidae. The record is from Ensembl.
CUGGCCCUGAAUCAAGGCCAGCAGCUUCCUGACGCUGUUGGUUUCGAGCUGGAGCUUAAAGAGAUGUCUCUCUAUGGUCCGCUGGCCAAUUCAGAACUUGGGCAGUGAAAUGGUCAAUUCAUUAGAAAAAAAACAGC